ACGUACGGCCAUAGAUCAAAGAAAACAUCGGAUCCCGUCCGCUCUCCUGCAAUCAAGCUUUGAAUCGGUAGAUUAGUAGUUAGGUGGGUGACCACUAGCGAAUACCUACUGCUGUACGUU
This 120-nucleotide ribosomal RNA is filed under the name Coniosporium apollinis CBS 100218. Lineage: Eukaryota; Fungi; Ascomycota; Dothideomycetes. The record is from RNAcentral.